This 995-nucleotide long non-coding RNA is filed under the name Homo sapiens (human). RNAcentral describes it as "PREDICTED lncRNA (TCONS_00042539)". Lineage: Eukaryota; Metazoa; Chordata; Mammalia; Primates; Hominidae. The record is from RNAcentral.
GGAGAGGUCGCCGUCCUCCCGGGCGGGGCGCGCGGGGUCCGCCGCCCGGGGGCGCCCCCAGCGCGCGGACGGCGGGACCCUGCGGCCUCCUCCAGGUCUGGACGCAGGGAGGGGUGAGACUGUUCUGGCCAAAGAGACUGGAGAUCCAGUAUCAGCAAGCUACUUUCUUGCAUUUAGCAAUGAAUACUAUGGGAUUAUGGCUAAAAGAUGGUCAAGACUGCCUCAGCCAUUAGGAUCAGAAUUCUAAGUUCCAAAGAAGAGCAAACUCAAGAGGAUUUCCUCAGGCCUCUGACUAUAGAUGCUGCCUGGGGAGAACAGGUGCUACACUCAAAACAUUCUCAUUUUAUUUAUAUCCUCCCUGAACUAGUACCCAACUCCAUAACCCCAGACUCAAAUAACAGAAAUAAAAGCCAUCUCACUGAUUAUAAGCUCUCUAGUUAUUACAAAAAUAAAUAAGCAUCAAUCAACCAACAGGCAUCAGAAUGAGAAAAUCACUGAUUUGAGACAUUCAGGCUGCAGGAAAAGAACACUUUUUGUUAAUAUGUAACUAUAUCUUCAGUAGUACAGAAAAAUGAGAAGAACGAGAGUUCUUACCUGGAUUUGCGGCUCACUUAAAGUAGAGCACCUGAGAUGCUGGGAAAUCAUAAAGAUAAAUAACCAAUCUAACAAAUUCCUGCCAUGAGACCAAAGUGAUCCUUGACUACUCUAUUAGUAAGCGACUCUGAGCCAAGAGUACGAACCUGUAAGUGGAGUGGUGGUUGGCCCAUUAGAAAUCUCUGAAAGAUCUAAACAUGACAGUUACCUUCCUACUGGACUCAUACUUCUCAAUUCCCUCUCCUAAAAGAAUACUUUUGGGCUGGCCCCAGUGGCUCACACCUGUAAUCUCGGCACUUUGGGAAGCCAAGGUGGGAGGAUUGCUUGAGGACAAGAGUUUGAGACCAGCUCGGUGGAAACAUAGCACCAUCCAUGUCUCUACCAAAAAAAGAAAAAAAAAA